This 10720-nucleotide long non-coding RNA is filed under the name Salmo salar (Atlantic salmon). Its description in RNAcentral is "lncRNA (ENSSSAG00000110829.1, ENSSSAG00000117704.1)". Lineage: Eukaryota; Metazoa; Chordata; Actinopteri; Salmoniformes; Salmonidae. The record is from RNAcentral.
ACAACGCUUUGCAGACGUUUGAUAAAAUGCUAAAUAAAAACAAAUACAAUUGAUUCAAAAGGGACACCUGUUCAGCUUGCUAGUAUGCUGUGCUGUGUUUAAUUCUGCAAUUGAUAGAGUAAGUGAGCACAUCCACUCUUCAGUGGCUACAUCCACCAGCCCAUUUAUUUGGUGCAUUUCAUACACAUUCUGCCCAAAGUCAAACGUACAACUUUAAGUUUCUGAAUAAAUAUCUCAAAUAAAUUACACACACACAUUAUACAUAUAUGUGACCAACACCCCCUUGAAUGGCUUUAGAAGAUAGAAGCCAUUAAAAUGCCUCAAAGUCAAGCAUAGCUUAGAUCAGCAGCCAUCACUCACCUCAUAGCAGUAUCCCACUAAAGAGGAAUCAUUGUAACAAUAUUCAAUGAAGAGGGAGUACAUUAUUUACAUGUACAUUUACGUCAUUUAGCAGACGCUCUUAUCCAGAGCGACUUACAAAUUGGUGCAUUCACCUUAUGAUAUCCGCUAUAUCCGAUAUUAUUUCUAUGUCACACACACACAGACAGAGAGACAGAGAGAGAGAGACAGAGAGACAGACAGAAAGACAGAGAGAGACAGACAGAGAAACAGAGAGACAGAGAGAGAGACAGACAGAGAGAGAGAGAGACAGACAGAGAGACAGCGACAGAGAGACAGACAGAGACAGCGACAGAGAGACAGAGACAGACAGAGAGACAGACAGAGAGACAGCGACAGAGAGACAGCGACAGAGAGACAGCGACAGAGAGACAGCGACAGAGAGACAGACAGAGAGACAGAGAGAUACAGACAGAGAGAUCUAUGGUUACAGCAUUGUCCAUGAACAGAAACAAAUCAUCACAGGAUGCCUGAGUAAUACACAGAAUACAACCCUCAAAAUCAACACAGAGAUGAGUCAUACUACUGACAGUACUAUCAUAUUGCUCCUAGGAAGUGGCAUGAGUUCUUUGUUUAUGACCUACUGUGUUUGUUAUAAAGUUGUAGGCGAGGCUUACUGUCAGCAUGCAAAGUAGGCUGAACCUCGGCAGCAAGAGACAAAGGACACAGAGGCCAAGAUUUUGCCACUGUUAGGUCAUGAGCAGUAUUAUGAACCUUCAAAUUUUGCCGAGCACAUAAUACUAUAACUGCCCUUAUAUUUUUUCAAAAACAAUUACUCUGAGUUUCUACUUUUCACACCUUUUCCUUUGUUGUGCAUUUCACUCUUUCCAGUCCCCUUGGUAAUAUCACUCUCUCCAGUCCCCUUACUCAUACCACUCUCUAUCCAGUCCCUGUAGUCAUAUCACUCUCUCUCCAGUCCCUUUACUCAUACCACUCCCUAUCCAGUCCCUGUAGUCAUACCACUCUCUAUCCAGUCCCUGUAGUCAUAUCACUCUCUCUCCAGUCCCCUUACUCAUACCACUCUCUCUCCCUGUAGUCAUACCACUCUCUCUACAGUCCCUGUAGUCAUACCACUCUCUCUCCCUGUAGUCAUACCACUCUCUAUCCAGUCCCUGUAGUCAUAUCACUCUCUCUCCAGUCCCCUUACUCAUACCACUCUCUCUCCCUGUAGUCAUACCACUCUCUCUACAGUCCCUGUAGUCAUACCACUCUCUCUCCCUUCCCCUUACUCAUACCACUCUUUAUCCAGUCCCUGUAGUCAUAUCACUCUCUCUCCAGUCCCCUUACUCAUACCACUCUCUCUCCCUGUAGUCAUACCACUCUCUAUCCAGUCCCUGUAGUCAUACCACUCUCUCUACAGUCCCUGUAGUCAUACCACUCUCUCUCCAGUCCCCGUAGUCAUACCACUCUCUCUCCCUGUAGUCAUAACACUCUCUCUCCCUGUAGUCAUACCACUCUCUCUCCAGUCCCUGUAGUCAUACCACUCUCUCCAGUCCCUGUAGUCAUACCAAUCUCUCUCCAGUCCCUGUAGUCAUACCACUCUCUCUCCAGUCCCUGUAGUCAUACCACUCUCUCUCCAGUCCCUGUAGUCAUACCACUCUCUCUCCAGUCCCCGUAGUCAUAACACUCUCUCUCCCCGUAGUCAUAUGACUCUCUCCAGUCCCUGUAGUCAUACCACUCUCUCUCCAGUCCGUGUAGUCACACCACUAUCUCUCUCCCUGUAGUCAUACAACUCUCUCUCCAGUCACUGUAGUCAUACCACUCUCUCUCCAGUCCCCGUAGUCAUACCACUCUCUCACUAGUCCCUGUAGUCAUACCACUCUCUCUCCAGUCCCUGUAGUCAUACCACUCUCUCUCCAGUCCCCGUAGUCAUAACACUCUCUCUCCCCGUAGUCAUAUGACUCUCUCCAGUCCCUGUAGUCAUACCACUCUCUCUCCAGUCCGUGUAGUCACACCACUAUCUCUCUCCCUGUAGUCAUACAACUCUCUCUCCAGUCCCUGUAGUCAUACCACUCUCUCUCCAGUCCCCGUAGUCAUACCACUCUCUCUCCCUGUAGUCAUAACACUCUCUCUCCCUGUAGUCAAACCACUCUCUCUCCAGUCCCUGUAGUCAUACCACUCUCUCCAGUCCCUGUAGUCAUACCAAUCUCUCUCCAGUCACUGUAGUCAUACCACUCUCUCUCCAGUCACUGUAGCCAUACCACUCUCUCUCCCCGUAGUCAUACAACUCUCUCUCCAGUCCCCAUGGUCAUACCACUCUCUCUCCAGUCCCUGUAGUCAUACCACUCUCUCUCCAGUCACUGUAGUCAUACCACUCUCUCUCCAGUCCCUGUAGUCAUACCACUCUCUCUCCAGUCCCUGUAGUCAUACCACUCUCUCUCCAGUCCCUGUAGUCAUACCACUCUCUCUCCAGUCCCCGUAGUCAUAACACUCUCUCUCCCCGUAGUCAUAUGACUCUCUCCAGUCCCUGUAGUCAUACCACUCUCUCUCCAGUCCGUGUAGUCACACCACUAUCUCUCUCCCUGUAGUCAUACAACUCUCUCUCCAGUCCCUGUAGUCAUACCACUCUCUCUCCAGUCCCCGUAGUCAUACCACUCUCUCACUAGUCCCUGUAGUCAUACCACUCUCUCUCCAGUCACUGUAGUCAUACCACUCUCUCUCCAGUCCCCGUAGUCAUACCACUCUCUCACUAGUCCCUGUAACAUAGCACUCUCUCUCCAGUCCCCGUAGUCAUACCACUCUCUCACUAGUCCCUGUAGUCACACCACUCUCUCUCCAGUCCCUGUAGUCAUACCACUAUCUCUCCCUGUAGUCAUAUGACUCUCUCUCCAGUCCCUGUAGUCAUACCACUCUCUCCCCGUAGUCAUACCACUCUCUCUCCAGUCCCUGUAGUCAUACCACUAUCUCUCCCUGUAGUCAUAUGACUCUCUUUCCCUGUAGUCAUACCACUCUUUCUCCAGUCCCCAUUGUCAUACCACUCUCUCACUAGUCACCGUAGUCAUACCACUCUCUCCAGUCCCCGUAGUUCUACCACUCUCUCUCCAGUCCCCGUAGUCAUACCACUCUCUCUCCAGUCCCCGUAGUCAUACCACUCUCUCUCCAGUCCCCGUAGUCAUACCACUCUCUCUCCAGUCCCCAUAGUCAUACCACUCUCUCUCCAGUCCCCGUAGUCAUACCACUCUCUCUCCAGUCCCCGUAGUCAUACCACUCUCUCUCCAGUCCCCAUAGUCAUACCACUCUCUCACUAGUCCCUGUAACAUAGCACUCUCUCUCCAGUCUCCGUAGUCAUACCACUCUCUCACUAGUCCCUGUAGUCACACCACUCUCUCUCCAGUCCCUGUAGUCAUACCACUAUCUCUCCCUGUAGUCAUACGACUAUCUCUCCCUGUAGUCAUAUGACUCUCUCUCCCUGUAGUCAUACCACUCUCUCACUAGUCCCUGUAGUCACACCACUCUCUCUCCAGUCCCUGUAGUCAUACCAAUCUCUCACUAGUCCCCAUAGUCAUAGCAUCAUUACCGCUCCUGCAGUCAUUUUAGCCGCAAUCAACAAUCCCUUUCAAAAUUGUGCACUUUGCAGCGCAUUGAUAAAAUGCUCAAUUAUCGCAAAUAAAAUGGAUUCAAGUACAGAAGUGCCAACAAAACAGACACGUACUGUUCAGCUUGCUAGAUGCCAUCUUGCCUAAUCUUAUCUUUCUCUGCUUUGAUGACAGACAUUUACAUUUACGUCAUUUUGCAGACGCUCUUAUCCAGAGCGACAUACAUUUUCCAUACUGGUCCCCCUUGGGAAUCGAACCCACAACCCUGGCUUUGUAAGAUCCAUGCUCUACCAACAAAGCUACAAGGGAGGAGCGGCAGGAGUUGCUUAGACCAGUGGUGGAAAAACUGCUGUCCUUCAGGGUCACAGUCAAGCUAUUUGUCGUCUCUUCCUGGUACUCUCCCUGAUAUUGAUCAUUUCUCAGUACUUAUUAACCAUUAUAAACUGGCCAUAUACCACACCUCCUCAGGCCUUAUUGCGUAAGUGUCCAACACACCUGGCUGCCCAGAUUAAGGGGCAAGAAUGAAAGUCAGUAGACACUGAGGCCUGAGGGGGUACACCCUUUGAGUCCUUAGCCCAGAAAAGCAUGUGCAUAUCAUCUAACAAAGUGGUCACUAACCUUUCCUAGGUCAAGAUCACUUCCUGAGUCAAAAUACAAGCCGAGAUGUACCGCUCAGAUUUGUUUUACAUGACUGAAAAAAACUUAAUCCUAUGCAACAUUAAGAUAUUGAAAACAGUACUGUAGCAAUGAGGUUUGUGCAGUAGGCUAUAGGUCCAAUACAUUAUCACUGCAUAUUGGCUUUACUUUAAUUGCCAUGCCAAUGCAUUUUUGUUUGGACCAUUAAAAUAUAUUUAUAUUUCAAAAUUUGAGGUAGGCUAUGUGAUCACACCGGUUAUAGAUCAAUUGUUGUAUUACUUGUGAGCAUACAUUUACAGCUGAGUGAGCAUACAUUUAAAUCAUUUUUAAUUUUAUUUAUUUUACUGGGCUGAUGGUGCCUGCAUCUGAUGGUCAGUCUUAGUGGAGGGAGAGAGCAGCAGACUGACGGUCUGCCUCUCAAAGUCACUCCGCUCUCCCUUUUCGUCUGUUGACACUGACCAAAAAGGGACACCGUCUUCCAGCUGAUGGCGAAACUUGAGUCGCACUGCAUUAUUUAAACAUAAAGAUAGCGCCGAAGAACAUGGCUGACGUUUUACAUUCUCCCAACCAAUUGUGCAAUUUUGUUAUUUUUUUUUGCGUAACUAAUUUUUUUACUUAUUGUGUACAUAAUGUUGCUGCUACCGUCUCUUAUGACUGAAAAUAACUUCUGGACAUCAGAAAAGCGAUAACUCACCACGGACUGGAAGAAACUUUUUCCUUUAACGAGUCCAAUGAGAAGGAUAUCCUGCUUUCACUGGAACAGGCCCAGAUCCACGCCUUUUACGUGAAGAAAAGACGCUGGAAAAGGGGAACCAGAUUGGGGAUCCUUCUGAGAAGCCAGAGGCGAACGAGUAAACUCCCAAUGCCUUCCAUUCUCCUUGCUAACGUGCAAUUGUUAGAAAAUAAAAUUGAUGACCUACUAUUAAGACUUUCCUACCAACGGGACAUUAAAAACUGUAACAUUUUAUGUUCCACCGAGACGUGGCUGAACAAAGAAACGGACAAUAUAGAGCUGGCAGGAUUUUCCCAUGCAGAACAGAGACGCUACCUCUGGUUAGAUGAGGGGUGGGUGUGUGUGUCUUUUUGUCAAUAACAGCUGCUGCGCGAUGCCUAAUAUUAAAGAAGUCUCAAGGUAUUGCUCGCCUGAGGUAGAGUACCUUAUGAUAAGCUGUAGACCACACUAUCUACCAAGAGAGUUCUCAUCUAUAUUAUUCGUAGCUGUCUAUUUACCGCCACAAAGUGAAGCUGCCACUAAGAAAGCUCUCAACAAACUCUAUAAGGCCAUAAGGAAAGAAGAAAAUGCUCACCCAGAAGCAGCGCUCCUAGUGGCCAGAGACUUUAAUGCAGGCAAAGUUAAAUCAGUUUUACAAAAAUUUUUACCAGCAUGUUACAUGUGCAACCAGGAAAAACAAAAUCCUAGACCACCUUUACUCCACACACAGAGAUGAAUACAAAGCUCUCCCCCGCCCUCCAUUUGGCGAAUCUGACGACAAUUCUAUCCUCCUGAUUCCCGCUUACAAGCAAAAACUAAAGCAGGAAGUACCAGUGACUCGCUCAAUACGGAGGUGGUCAGAUGAUGCAGAUGCUACACUACAGGACGGUUUUGCUAGCACAGACUGGAAUAUGUUCCGGGAUUCAUCCAAUGGCAUUGAGGAAUACACCACCUCAGUCACCGGCUUCAUCAAUAAGUGAAUCGAUGACGUCGUGCCCACAGCGACUGUACGUACAUAUCCCAACCAGAAGCCAUGGAUUACAGGCAACAUCCACAUCGAGCUAAAGGCUUGAGCUGUCGCUUUCAAGGAGCGGGAGACUAAUCCGGACGCUUAUAAGAAAUCCCGCUAUGCCCUCAGACAAACCAUCAAACAAGCAAAGCGUCAAUACAAUGUUAAAAAUUUAAUCACACUCGUCGGCUGUGGCAGGGCUUGAAAACUAUUACGGACUACAAAGGGAAACCCAGACGCGAACUGCCCAGUGACGCGAGCCUACCAGAUGAGCUAAAUGCCUUUUAUGCUCGCUUCGAGGCAAGCAACACUGAAGCAUGCACGAGAGCACCAGCUGUUCUGGACCACUGUGUGAUAACGCUCUCGGUAGCUGAUAUGAACAAAACCUUUAAACUGGCCAGACGGAUUACCAGGACGUGUACUUAAAGCAUGCGCGAACCAACUGUAAAGUGUCUUCACUGACAUUUCCAACCUCUCCUGACCGAGUCUGUAAUACCUACAUGUGUCAAGCAGACCACCAUAGUUAGUCUCUGUGCCAAAGGAAGCGAAGGUAACCUGCCUAAAUGAUUAUCGCCCCAUGGCACUCACUUCGGUAGCCAUGAAGUGCUUUGAAAGGCUGGUCACGGCUCACAUCAACAGCAUCCGGACACCCUAGACCCACUCCAAUUCGCAUACCGCCCCAACAGAUCCACAGAUGAUGCAAUCUCAAUCGCACUCCACACUGCCCUUCUCACCUGGACAAAAGGAACACCUAUGUGAGGAUGCUGUUCAUCGACUACAGCUCAGCAUUCAACACCAUAGUGCCCAUGAAGCUCAUCACUAAGCUAAGGACUCUGGGACUAACUGGAUCCUGGACUUCCUGACGGGCCACCCCAGGUGGUAAGAGUAGGCAACAACACGUCUGCCACACUCAUCCUUACCACUGGGGCCCCUCAGGGUGUGUACUUAGUCCCCUCCUGUAUUCCCUGUUCACCCACGACUGGGUGGCCAAACACGACUCCAUCACCAUCAUUAAGUUUGCUUAUGACACAACAGUGGUAGGCCUGAUCACCGACAACAAUGAGACGGCCUAUAGGGAGGAGGUCAGGGAACUGGUAGUGUGGUGCCAGAACAACAACCUCUCCCUCAAUGUGAGCAAGACCUGUAGCUGAUCGUGGACUACAGGAAAAGGCGGGCCGAACAGGCCCCCAUUAACAUCGAAGGGGCUGUAGUGGAGCGGGUCGAGAGUUUCAAGUUCCUUGGUGUCCACGUCACCAUCAAACUAUCAUGGUCCAAACAUAUCAAGACAGUCAUGAAGAGGGCAUGACAAAACCUUUUCCCCCUCAGGAGAAAAGAUUUGGCCUGGGCCCCCAGAUCCUCAAAAGGUUCUACAGCUGCACCAUUGAGAGCAUCCUGACCGGUAGCAUCACCGGCUGGUAUGGCAACUGCUCAGCAUCUGACCGUAAGGCGCUACAGAGUGUAGUGCAAACGGCCCAGUACAUCACUGGGUCCAAGCUUCCUGCCAUCCAGGACCUAUAUAAUAGGCGGUGUCAGAGGAAAGCCCAUAAAAUUGUCAGAGACUCCAGUCACCCAAGUUAUAGACUGUUUUCUCUGGUACCGCACGGCAAGCAGUACCGGAGCGCCAAGUCUAGGACCAAAAGGCUCAGCAACAACUUCUACCCCCAAGCCAUUAAACUGCUGAACAAUUCAUAAAAAUUGCCACCGGACAAUUUACAUUGACAACACCCCCACCCACCUCCCUUCCUCCUCUUGUACACUGCUUCUACUCGCUGUUUGUUUGUUACCUAUGCAUAGUCACUUCGCCCCCACCUACAUGUACAGAUUACCUCAACUAGCCUGUUCCCCUGCACACUGACUCGGUACCGGUGCCCCGUGUAUAUAACAGUCGUUAUUGUUAUUCUUUUUGUGUUACUUUUUGUUAUUACUUUUUAUUUUAGCCUACUUUGUAAAUAUUUUCUUCUUCUUGAACUGCACUGUUGGUUAAGGGCUUGUAAGUAAGCAUUUCACGGUAAAGUCUACACUUGUUGUAUUCGGCGCAUGUGGCAAAUAAAGUUUGAUUUGAUUAUUUCUGUCUCAUACAGAACUUCAUGUUGUUACUACUAUGACCAGAGAAAGUGAAACAUUCCUUGAUAUUGAAAAGACCCAAGCUGCUAAUAACAACAACACAAGCCUAUCGAUACACUUUCCUACUCAUUCAUUGCAGCUGCAGUGCUGGUUGUAGCACAAGUGCAAGUACGAUUUACAGUUUAAGUCAGAAGUGUACAUUCACCUUAGCCAAAUACAUUUCAACUCAGUUUUUCACAAUUCCUGACAUUUAAUCCUAGUAAAAAUCCUUUCCUUAGGUCAGUUAGGAUCACAACUUUAUUUUAAGAAUGUGAAAUGUCAGAAUAAUAGUAGAGAGAAUGAUUUAUUUCAGCUUUUAUUUCUUUCAUCACAUUCCCAGUGGGUCAGAAGUUUACACAGAAUAAGUAUUUGGUAGCAUUGCCUUUAAAUUGUUUAACUUGGGUCAAACCUUUCGGGUAGCCUUCCCACAAUAAGUUGGGUGAAUUUUGGCACAUUCCUCCUGACAGAGCUGCUGUAACUGAGUCAGGUUUGUAGGUCUCCUUGCUCACACACGAUUUUUUAGUUCUGCCCACAAAUUUUCGAUACGUUUGAGGUCAGGGCUUUCUGAUGCCCACUCCAAUACCUUGACUUUGUUGUCUUAAAUACAUUUUGCCACAACUUUGGAAGUAUGCUUGGAGUCAUUGUCCAUUUGGAAGACCCAUUUGCGACCAAGCUUUAACUUACUGAUGUCUUGAGAUGUUGCUUCAAUAUAUCUACAUCAUUUUCCUGCCUCAUGAUGCCAUCUAUGUCCUUCCCAUGAUGCCAUCUAUUUUGUGAAGUGCACCAGUCCUUCCUGCAGCAAAGCACCCCCACAACAUGAUGCUGCCAUCCCCGUGCAUCACGGUUGGGAAGGUGUUCUUCGGCUUGCAAGCAUCCCCCUUUUUCCUCCAAACAUAACGAUGGUCAUUAUGGCCAUACAGUUCUAUUUUUGUUUCAUCAGACCAGAGGACAUUUCUCCAAAAAGUACGAUCCCCAUGUGCAGUUGCAAACUGUAGUCGGCCUUUUUUUAUGCCGGUUUUGUAGCAGUGGCUUCUUCCUUGCUGAGCGGCCUUUCAGGUUAUGUCGAUAUAGGACUCAUUUUUACUGUGGAUAUAGAUACUUUUCUACCUGUUUCCUCCAGCAUCUUCACACGGUCCUUUGCUGUUGUUCUGGGAUUGAUUUGCACUUUUCACACCAAAGUACGUUCAUCUCUAGGAGACAGAACGCAUCUCCUUCCUGAGCGGUAUGACGGCUGAGUGGUCCCAUGGUGUUUAUACUUGCGUACUAUUGUUUGUACAGAUGAACGUGGUUCUUCAGGCGUUUGGAAAUUGCUCCCAAGGAUGAACCAGACUUGUGGAGGUCUACACUUGUUUUUCUGAGGUCUUGGCUGAUUUCUUUUGAUUUUCCCAUGAUGUCAAGCAAAGAUGCACCGAGUUUGAAGGUAGGCCUUGAAAUACAUCCACAGGUACACCUCCAAUUGACUCAAAUGAUGUCAAUUAGCCUAUCAGAAGCUUCUAAAGCCAUGACAUAAUUUUCUGGAAUUUUCCAAGCUGUUUAAAGUCACAGUCAGUUUAGUGUAUGUAAACUUCUGACCCACUGGAAUUGUGAUACAGUGAAUUAUAAGUGAAAUAAUCUGUCUGUAAACAAUUGUUGGAAAAAUUACUUGUGUCAUGCACAAAGUAGAUAUCCUAACCGACUUGCCAAAACUAUAGUUUGUUAACAAGACAUUUGUGGAGUGGUUGAAAAAUGAGUUUUAAUGACUCCAAACUAAGUGUAUGUAAACUUCCGACUUCAACUGUAUGUGCUGAGUAAGAACUUAAACAUAAACUCACUCAUAAAAACAGCAUCUCUUUGCUGUAUUCGUAAACAAUAUCUAUCUAUUCAUGGUUUUAAACAUUUUUACAUCCCACAACUUUGCUGUAGCUUCCUUUUGUUCCUGCUACGUUAGUGCAGACACGGCCAUCUGAGCCAUCCGAUUGGUCAGCGUUAGGCCUAUAGUGCACUUGAUUUGCUCUCCGGGCCCGUGGGGAAGGCAGAGUUUGUCCCUUCAGACACAUGAAACGGUUCAAAAUCUGAACACUUUGGCUACCUGGCACGCAGGGCAGCUGAAUCGGGUGCACCUACCGCCAACUGCACAAGAGGAAUAAAAAAAAUUAUAGGAACGCAAUGCUUUAGAGUUGGGUUUUUUACAGAAAUAUUUGGAGAUCGACUAGAGAUGCCUUGGAGAUCGAUCACGACUGACCGAUCACGAUUGACCGGUUGGUGACCACUGAUCUAACCCCUCUACUGACCCGAGAGAGAGAGAGAGAGAGAGAGAGAGAGAGAGAGAGAGAGAGAGAGAGAAAC